AUCCCUUUCGCUUUAUGGCGUGCUCGUUUGGGUUGGGCGUCGGCUAAGAGUGUUCGGAGCGUGGAUUAACUCCAGUCUCCAAUCAGGUGUGUAUUUAUCACUACUCUUGUUGUUGGAUGGCUACUUCGGGCCGCGAUGGGCCGAAAGGGGCCAUGUGGGCCCAAUGGGCCUACGGGCCCAAUUGGAUAAGUUGUUUGAUUGUGUAGUAAAUAUUGGACUAGGCUAGGUGAAUCUCAUAUCUGUGGCUAGGUUUGGGCUGAAAGGGCCACACGAGCGUGUGGGCCCAUUUGGGCCGAGAAUAGGCUUUAGGCCCAUUCAUAUUGUUAUCCAUGUUUAGAAUACUUUAGUUUACCAAUUACUGAAAUGCCCUCGACUUGUAAAAUUACCAAAGUACUCCCGAUUUACAAAAUUACCGUUUUACCCUCGAUUUACAGAAUUACCAUUUUACCCUCGAUUUUUAAAAUUACCGUUUUACCCUCGAUUUACAAAAUUAUCGUUUUACCCUCGAUUUAUAGAAUUACCGUUUUACCCUCAGUUUAUAGAAUUACUAUUUUACCCUCGAUUUAUAGAAUUACCAUUUUACCCUCAGUUUACAGAAUUACUGUUUUACCCUCGAUUUAUAGAAUUACCGUUUUACCCUCGAUUUGUAAAAUUACCGUUUUACCCUUGAUUUACAGAAUUACUGGUUUACCCUCAAUUUACAAAAUUAUCGUUUUACCCUCGAUUUACAGAAUUACCGUUUUACCCUUGAUUGUGAAAUUACUGAAAUACCCCUGUAGGAUAGAAUUUCCGGAAUACCCCUAUAGGGUAGAAUUACUAAAAUACCCUUAUAUGAUAGAAUUACCAAAAUACCCCUGUAGGGUAGAAUUAUCGAAAUACCCUUGUAGGGUAGAAAUACUGAAAUACCCCUGUAGGGUAGAAUUACCGAGAUACCCUUAUGGGGUAAAAUUACCAUUUUGCCCCUAGGGUGUUAAAUGACUGUUUUGCCCUUGUGGGCAAGUGACUGACUUGGACUGCGUGUUUGACGGAUUUGAUUGUGAAUAUAUAUUGGUGAUAUGAAUGACUUGACUGUGAUUGUUUGGUUCAAAUAUGGGCAUGACAUUCUGCAUACAUGACAUGUUGCAUGGGUUGGGAUUUUGUACGGAGGAAGCGUUCUGGUGGCUAUGCCACAAAUAUCUAUUCUGGUGGCUCUGCCACAAUAUCUGUAUUUGACUCUGUCACAAUAUCUGUUGACCGAUCGAUGGCUAAGUGCCGAUCACGCUACCGAAGGCUGUGUGCCGUUGUUGUGGGCUUCGUGCCGAUUAUAGACUCGUUAUUAAUGGCUCUGUGCCAACCUAAAUAUGGCUUUGUGCCAUCUUGACUAUGGCUUCGUGCCAAACGUAUUUACCUGUAGCUAUGUGCCUAACAUAUUUGUUGACGACUCUGUGUCGAUCAUAUUUACCGAAGGCUGUGCGCCAGUUAUAUUACCGUCACUGAUGGCUAUGUGCCGAAGUUAUUACAGUUAUCUAUUGCUUUGUGCCACGUAUUCUGUUAGGUGGGUUUGCCACAUUAUCUGAUUCUGGUGGCUCUGCCACAAUAUCUGUAUCUGGUGACUCUGUCACGAUAUCUGUUCUGGUAGCCAUGCUGCAAAUUCUGUGGUGUGUAGCGGAUGGGUGGGUCGAGUUGUCUCCCCACAUGGUGUAAGGUUGGUACGGGGGUGUAUACGCCUGGGUUGGGUUGGGAUUGCAUUCACAUUCUGAUUCUGAUUCUGUCACGUAAUUCUGAUUCUGAUUCUGAUUCUGUUACUAAUAUUGAUUCUAAUUCUGAUUCUGUUACUGAUUCUGAUUCUGAUUCUGAUUCUCAUUUUGGUUCCAAUUCUGAUAAUGUUUCUUAUUCUGUAAUGGGCUAAGGUCCAUCUGGUACUGUGUGUUGUAAUGGGCUAAGACCCGAUUGGUACUGAAAUUGUAAGUAAGGCUGGGGCCAGACUUUUAAUUCUUUUAGAUGACUGACUGUUCCUUUUUAUAGUAGGGGAUUUCACACUGAGUUUUCGUAAACUCACCCCGUUUAUUAACCUUUCAGGUAAUUUCCAGCCUUAGAUGGAUCGGGGUUGCUAGGGGCUCGGAGGAAGCCACACACACUGUUUAUGUUACAGUUUUGAUUAUUACCUUUAAAUUAUUUUAUGUGGGUUGUAGUAAAGCCGUUU
This 2182-nucleotide long non-coding RNA is filed under the name Gossypium barbadense (sea-island cotton). RNAcentral describes it as "long non-coding RNA (GBAR_LNC011511)". Lineage: Eukaryota; Viridiplantae; Streptophyta; Magnoliopsida; Malvales; Malvaceae. The record is from RNAcentral.